AGCAGCCGCGGUAAUUCCAGCUCCAAUAGCGUAUAUUAAAGUUGUUGCAGUUAAAAAGCUCGUAGUUGAAUUUCGGGAUCAGCAGGUUGGUCGUGCCUCUGGUAUGCACUGGUUUCGCUGAUUCCUCCUUUCUGAAGAACUGUAAUGUCAUUAAUUUGGUGUUGCAGGGAAACAGGACUGUUACUUUGAAAAAAUUAGAGUGUUUAAAGCAGGCUACCGCUUGAAUACAUUAGCAUGGAAUAAUGAAAUAGGACGUUUGAUCCUAUUUUGUUGGUUUCUAGGAUUGACGUAAUGAUUAAUAGGGAUAGUUGGGGGCAUUAGUAUUCAAUUGUCAGAGGUGAAAUUCUUGGAUUUAUUGAAGACUAACUACUGCGAAAGCAUUUGCCAAGGAUGUUUUCAUUAAUCAAGAACGAAAGUUAGGGGAUCGAAGACGAUCAGGUACCGUCGUAGUCUUAACCAUAAACUAUGCCGACUAGGGAUAGGGUGAUGUUAAUUUUUUAAUGACUCA
This 508-nucleotide ribosomal RNA is filed under the name uncultured fungus. Its description in RNAcentral is "SSU rRNA". It matches the Rfam family "Eukaryotic small subunit ribosomal RNA", at positions 569 to 1078 of the family's 1831-position model. The record is from RNAcentral. Lineage: Eukaryota; Fungi.